This 212-nucleotide ribosomal RNA is filed under the name Sphingobacterium sp. RNAcentral's name for it is "partial 16S ribosomal RNA". It matches the Rfam family "Bacterial small subunit ribosomal RNA", at positions 514 to 725 of the family's 1533-position model. The record is from RNAcentral. Lineage: Bacteria; Pseudomonadati; Bacteroidota; Sphingobacteriia; Sphingobacteriales; Sphingobacteriaceae.
GCCGCGGUAAUACGGAGGAUCCAAGCGUUAUCCGGAUUUAUUGGGUUUAAAGGGUGCGUAGGCGGUCCUAUAAGUCAGUGGUGAAAGACGGCAGCUUAACUGUCGCAGUGCCUUUGAUACUGUAGGACUUGAAUCUAUUUGAAGUGGGCGGAAUAAGACAAGUAGCGGUGAAAUGCAUAGAUAUGUCUUAGAACUCCGAUUGCGAAGGCAGC